AGUCCAACCACAGCAGUAAAUGCAGAAAAAAUUGCUGUGAACAAACUAUCACUGGUGUAAUCUGAGGCAAAAGAUUUGUCAAAAGAAAUCAGACAGGUGGGAAAAUCCUGGAGUCUCAAUGUGUUACUUUAAGAUCAAUAGGUAAGACCUAUUUUUCUUUCCAAAGGUGGCCGAGACCUUUCUGUGUUGGCAUUUCUACUGUCACAACUGUUAACUGUGGCCAGAUUUAGUUUGCCCUGAGGGCUCUGGUGUUCACAGUUCUUCAGUAUCCACUUUAUUCACGCUGGUUGCCUCAUCAAGAGAAGAUCAAAGUUUGCCUCUGAAGUCAGCCUGAGUGCAAAGAAACUUAAGGACCCUGGGUGCCUGAAGAAAUAGCAGCAUGGGUCUGCAGAGGAGUGGUCCCAAAGUAGCAGUACAGCAGGUACUGUGAAUAAUUUCUCUCAGUUUGUGUGAACCAUUUGCCACUGCCUCAUAAACCACCAUGUGCAGAGUUUGCCAGCUGAAAUAAAGAAUCACAGAAUGGUUUGGGUUGAAGGAACCUGUGGCUGCUGUUGGAAUGAUCUCUGGAGAUCAUCUAGUCCAACCUCCCUUCUAAAACAUGUUUAUCCAAAGCAGGCUGCACUGGAUUGACUUCAGGUAAGUUUUGAAUAUCUCCAGAGAAGGUGACUCCACAACCUCUCUGGGCAGCCUGUUCUCUGUGUUCUCUGUCUCCCUUCACAGAACAGUGUAUUAUCACAGUAAUGAUAUUUUGCCUCAUAUUUAGAUGGAACAACUGGCAUUUCGUAUUGUGUCUGUUGCCUGUGCCUUGUUCUGUCACUGGGCACCACUGAAAAGAGUCUGUCCCCAUCCUCUUAAUACCUUCCCUUAAGAUACCUGGACGCAAUGGUAAGAUCCCCUCCCAGCCAUCUCUUCUCCAGGCUGAAGAGGCCCAGCUCCCUCAGCCUUUCCUCAUAAGAGAGCUCUUUUAUCAUCUUCA
Molecule: long non-coding RNA, 976 nt
Organism: Passer domesticus (house sparrow)
Lineage: Eukaryota; Metazoa; Chordata; Aves; Passeriformes; Passeridae
Exons: 6
Source: RefSeq, a predicted model, not a curated record